UACGAAUGGAGCGAGCGUUGUUCGGAAUCACUGGGCGUAAAGGGUGCGCAGGCGGUCAUGAAAGUCAGAAGUGAAAUCCCAGGGCUUAACCCUGGAAUGGCUUUUGAAACUCCAUGACUAGAGUACUGGAGAGGUUAGCGGAAUUCCAAGUGUAGCAGUGAAAUGCGUAGAUAUUUGGAGGAACACCAAUGGCGUAGGCAGCUAACUGGACAGUAACUGACGCUCAUGCACGAAAGCGUGGGGAUCAAACAGG
RNAcentral lists this ribosomal RNA (253 nucleotides) under uncultured bacterium. RNAcentral describes it as "partial 16S ribosomal RNA". It matches the Rfam family "Bacterial small subunit ribosomal RNA", at positions 524 to 776 of the family's 1533-position model. The record is from RNAcentral.